CCUACGGGAGGCAGCAGUGGGGAAUAUUGGACAAUGGGGGGAACCCUGAUCCAGCGACGCCGCGUGAGGGAAGAAGGAUUUCGGUAUGUAAAGCUCUAUCAGCAGGGAAGAAAAAGACGGUACCGGACUAAGAAGCCUGGCGAACUACGUGCAAGCAGCCGAGGUAAGACGUAGGGGGAAAGCGUGAUCCGGAUUUACUGGGUGUAAAGGGAGCGUAGACGGUGCAGCAAGUCUGAUGUGAAAGGGCGGGGCCCAACCCCGGGACUGCAUUGGAAACUGUUGAACUGGAGUACAGGAGCGGUAAGCGGAAUUCCUAGUGUAGCGGUGAAAUGCGUAGAUAUUAGGAGGAAAACCAGUGGCGAAGGCGGCUGACUGGACUGUAACUGACGUUGAGGCUCGAAAGCGUGGGGAGCAAACAGGAUUAGAUACCCCGGUAGUC
Molecule: ribosomal RNA, 439 nt
Filed under: uncultured bacterium
Lineage: Bacteria
Description: partial 16S ribosomal RNA
Rfam family: Bacterial small subunit ribosomal RNA
Source: RNAcentral